CACACGCUUUUGUUCGCGAGUGACCCUUCACUUGGCUCACUCUCUCUACCUCCCCCUCCUCGACUCAGCCCCACAGUGGUGCGUUCUUUUUCCAUUGAAUUUGAAGCCUGUAGGAGUGGGUGCGUGCCCCCCUCUCCCUCUGCCUGUGUACCUGCACAUACGCAGGCACUUCUCUUGUUCUCCAACUUGUGCACAACUAGACUAGAUGCCCUAGAUAUACACGCACUUUAUCGAGGACGCGCUCAUAUAUAUAUAUAUAUAUAUGCACGGAUACAGAUACACGCACGCGCCAGCCCGCUUUUCACACACACACACACACACAAGCUGCCUCUUGCUGCGCCCCUGCUUGUUGUGGAUUUUUUUGUGUCUCUUGUCUGUGUAGACCUCUGGGCGGCUUUGUGCGGCUUCUUCCUCUCCCGCCUUCGGCACCCUGUCGCCGACGGCGCUCCUUGUUGCUGUGGUUGCCGAUCUUUCACCUUCUCGCUCUUUCCCUCACUUUAGUGGCGCAUGGGUCGGCUGCUGAGAGAGCACAGUGGCCGCGUGCACGCCUCGAGCGCAGCCCGUCCCGCUGCGGCGCCGGUCUCCACGGCACCGCACGUACUUAAUGCCGUCGUAUCUUCGUCCCUGCCGAAUCAAGAACGCUACGUGGAUGCUUCGGCGGGGAUGAUGCUCUGUGCGCCGUGUCCCCGUUCCUCGCAGCUGCUCCCUUCUUUUGCACUGGACUCACAAUGCCCUGUGGAAAGAGACUCCCCUGUCACAGAUGGGCGAUCCUCGCCCGCUGCUGUCCUUUACUGCAGCCAGCGGCCUACGCGUGUUCGCGAUUGUGAACAGGCAGCAGUGCGGGAGCGGCACACAGCGGCGGCGGCAUCACCUGAGGGGCCGUUGCGUAAUCCUUCCGGGUCUCAUAUGCACAGCUCUUCGUCGGUUGGUAUUAGUACGAAAGCCUCAAUGCCGCUCUCCAAAACCUCACGGCAGCACCGACAAGUGCCGUCAUCCUCCACGCACGCGGUUACACCGGAGGCAUGCCUAGCUGAACAGCUUCACCAUCAUCGCCUGGACAGAGCCGGGCAGCGAUAUCCGACGCCGCCGUGGUGGCUGCCUGGAGGAAUAGAGGCAGACAGUGAUCUUCUCGUGAGAGGUUCGACUCACCAUUUUUCCCGUUCCAUGCUUCAGCGGAGGGCCGGCGCUGACGACGUAACGCCUCACACAGGACAGGCAGAGCGAGGCCUCGGCGAGGAGCACCGGCUGCCAUGGCCAUCGACACCGGCUCCGCCGACGCUGCGAUCACGCGCGCGUAGCGCGAUCAAGGGCUGUCUACCACGGCCUCGUUCGCCCUCCGCCCGAUUGCAGGCGCACCUCAACACCUCGUUGAACAAGCUGCAGGAGGCAGAUGGGGGUGCGUCACCGCUGGGGUUUGUGAACCCUGGCGCGUAUCGCCUUGGUGAUGCUGAGACAAGGAGCUCGAGGGCUGGUCUCGGGCUUCGCGGUGCAUGUGCUCCUGUUCACCGGCUUGGACGGCAGUCCGGAUGUAUGUCUUCUCGAUAUGCUCUUUUCAAUGGUGUCUUCUCUACGUCUCCAUCCGUGGAUUCGGUGCGACCGCGGGGCACCUUGUGCACCACCUCGUCGUCAAUGGAGACAGCGUCCGACAGCGACACGGAGGCGAUGCCACGACGCGUGGUGUUCAACAACGUGCUGGCCACCACCGCUGCGUCCACAUGCCGCCUUCGCGUGUACCAGGAGAGCUUCAACCACCCUUCCGGCUUCGCUGUUCCACAACGCGGCGCGGGGAAGGCGGUGCCGGUGCAGGCAAACUGAAAUGGUCUUGCGGCGCUGCCGCAGACGGCGGCGGACUGACACGCCAUUGAGUGCGCUGUCAAUGCCGUCCCGUGCUCUCUGAUAUACGGUGCCAGCAACCACGCGUCUGCACCUACGCUGGCUGCGUAUAGACAAGCUGUAGCUGCCGAGACGGGUAUUGACCCGGCGCAGCUGCGGCACGGCCCGCUGAGCGCACGCUACGAUCGUGUGCGAGGCGCCUUGAGGGAGUCGAUCGUGGAGCGGGCGGACGGCGGCGGUGGCGACGCUAGUCUGAUGCACACGACAGCGCGGCUGCGUGUCAGAGCCUCGCGUCCAAGUGAGCUGUACGACCCCAUAUCGGGACUGCCACGAAAGCCAAAUGAGGUGCCGGCUGUAUAUCUGCAGUCCAUGGCGGCGGAAGCUGCGGCAAGGGUGGUGUCUUACCGCCACGGCGAUGGUGGCCCUCACGCCUCGAUGGAUGCACGAGCCAACUCCAGCUCCGUAGCGACGAAGCGACAGAUCAGAAGUGGGGCGUUCGCUUGGGCCGACAAGCUCAGCGGACUUGCCCAGCUGCGCAGACCGCGCCGUUGCGCGCGCCCUGCGCAGCUGCAUUCCACUCGUCGCGUCACCGGGCUGCCUCUCCGCCCAGAUGAGCGACGCUUGUAUUGGGCAGAGCAUGCACCGCUGCACACGACGUCGGUGCGAGGGCUGAACGCGGUGCUGCAGGGCGUGGGAGAGGCGGAGGAGGGUCUGCUUGUCGAGGGCCUUGGCCCGAGAGGCGCAUGGGCCAAAAGGGAAAGCGCCGGCAGAGGCGCGUCGUGAGUGGGCACUGACGUGGCCGUGUACGCAGAGGAAGAGACAGAGGUGACGCUCGACCAUCGGUGCUCCUUGACCGACGCGAGCUGCGGCGAUAAUGAUGGCGACGACGACGAAGAAGCGUGGGCAGCGAUGGCAGUUGAACGACCACGCCGACGGGGCAGCGGAGGGAGGGGGGUUUCAGGCUGAGUCUGCGCCGCUGCACCACGCCCGACUGCCGUCUCGUGCCUCAGAGCAAAGUACGUUCUCCUGUGCAAAUUCGGCCGUGGCUGCCGCUUGUGCGCACGGCUCCAGUGAAGGCGCCGCUGACGCGUCGCGCGUUCAUAUGGAAGGCAGGAACGGCUUGGUGGACUCGCACGUGCACGAGGACGUCACCACCGAUGUUGAGAAUGGUGCGCGAACACGCAGCUCAGACCACGAUGGUCUCUUGCAUCAUCGGACGGCAAGCGACCAUCGCACGGGGACGCCGUCGAUGGGGCAUUCAAGGAGAACUUCACCACCUCGGCGCUCGCAUUCUCACGAGCACCCUGAGCGCGAUCGCCAUGACGAUGGGGACUUACUCCUAUACCCGCCACUGCUCACGCCUCUUCUGCAGGAGGUGGGCAUGCGCCUGCGCGUUCACCGACUCCCCACCAUAGCAGAGCUGUGGCGCUGGGGUGGUGGCGAUCAGGAGGCGAUUCUUCAGAUCGCCGGUUUUAGGCGAGAGGAGCGGCAGACGAUCCUAUGGGAGCUGGAGCGCAUGAUACGGGUCAGCUCAACAAGGUGCGCACUGUCGGCUGCUGCCUAAGAAGGAGAGGACUGUGGCAGGGGGCCGACGGCAGGGGCCAGGCCGCACAUUUUUUACUUCGCCUUCUUUUGCUACUGUUUCGUGGUUUUAGCUUCUCCACCGCCUCGCUCCACUCUCCCCUCCCCCGCUGCGGCUCUCACGACGCACGCGUCCCGUUGCGUACCUUCGGCUGGGAAGUGCGCCUUCCUUCCCCCUCCCCCUCCCCCCAAAACGCGAAUGUAUCGAGCAAAGCAAAAAGGUACGCCGGAAGCGCGAAC
RNAcentral lists this unclassified non-coding RNA (3654 nucleotides) under Leishmania donovani. Its description in RNAcentral is "gene:LdHU3.23.1390(CDS-product:hypothetical_prote in)". Lineage: Eukaryota; Euglenozoa; Kinetoplastea; Trypanosomatida; Trypanosomatidae. The record is from RNAcentral.